UUGGAAGCUUGGACCAACUAGCUG
This 24-nucleotide microRNA is filed under the name Homo sapiens (human). Its description in RNAcentral is "hsa-miR-6079". The record is from miRBase by way of RNAcentral. Lineage: Eukaryota; Metazoa; Chordata; Mammalia; Primates; Hominidae.